GGGGGUAUAGCUCAACGGCAGAGCAUCGGACUUUGACUCCGGUGAUUUAGGUUCGAUUCCUAGUGCCCCUGCCA
Molecule: transfer RNA, 74 nt
Filed under: Caudoviricetes sp.
Lineage: Duplodnaviria; Heunggongvirae; Uroviricota; Caudoviricetes
Description: tRNA-Gln
Rfam family: tRNA
About the family: Transfer RNA (tRNA) molecules are approximately 80 nucleotides in length. Their secondary structure includes four short double-helical elements and three loops (D, anti-codon, and T loops).
Source: RNAcentral